GGGUUGUGAGGUUAAGCGACUAAGCGUACACGGUGGAUGCCCUGGCAGUCAGAGGCGAUGAAGGGCGUGCUAAUCUGCGAUAAGCGCCGGUAAGGUGAUAUGAACCGUUAUAACCGGCGAUACCCGAAUGGGGAAACCCAGUGUGUUUCGACACACUAUCAUUAACUGAAUCCAUAGGUUAAUGAGGCGAACCGGGGGAACUGAAACAUCUAAGUACCCCGAGGAAAAGAAAUCAACCGAGAUUCCCCCAGUAGCGGCGAGCGAACGGGGAGGAGCCCAGAGCCUGAAUCAGCAUGUGUGUUAGUGGAAGCGUCUGGAAAGGCGCGCGAUACAGGGUGACAGCCCCGUACACAAAAGCGCAUGUGCUGUGAGCUCGAUGAGUAGGGCGGGACACGUGGUAUCCUGUCUGAAUAUGGGGGGACCAUCCUCCAAGGCUAAAUACUCCUGACUGACCGAUAGUGAACCAGUACCGUGAGGGAAAGGCGAAAAGAACCCCGGCGAGGGGAGUGAAAAAGAACCUGAAACCGUGUACGUACAAGCAGUGGGAGCCCCACCACUAAGCCAGUGGUGAACUCCACAUACGCAUCCUUUGCUGAGGAUACGGUUAACGGAGCGAAAGCGACGUUCAACCUCAAAAGAAGCAGAGGGGGCUUAGUGGUGGGGUGACUGCGUACCUUUUGUAUAAUGGGUCAGCGACUUAUAUUCUGUAGCAAGGUUAACCGAAUAGGGGAGCCGGAGGGAAACCGAGUCUUAAUUGGGCGUUAAGUUGCAGGGUAUAGACCCGAAACCCGGUGAUCUAGCCAUGGGCAGGUUGAAGGUUGGGUAACACUAACUGGAGGACCGAACCGACUAAUGUUGAAAAAUUAGCGGAUGACCUGUGGCUGGGGGUGAAAGGCCAAUCAAACCGGGAGAUAGCUGGUUCUCCCCGAAAGCUAUUUAGGUAGCGCCUCGUGAAUUCAUCUCCGGGGGUAGAGCACUGUUUCGGCUAGGGGGCCAUCCCGGCUUACCAACCCGAUGCAAACUGCGAAUACCGGAGAAUGUUAUCACGGGAGACACACGGCGGGUGCUAACGUCCGUCGUGAAGAGGGAAACAACCCAGACCGCCAGCUAAGGUCCCAAAGUCAUGGUUAAGUGGGAAACGAUGUGGGAAGGCCCAGACAGCCAGGAUGUUGGCUUAGAAGCAGCCAUCAUUUAAAGAAAGCGUAAUAGCUCACUGGUCGAGUCGGCCUGCGCGGAAGAUGUAACGGGGCUAAACCAUGCACCGAAGCUGCGGCAGCGAACGUAUCACUUAAAGCGAUUCAGCGGAUGACGAUUGACGGAGCGAAGCGACGUCAAAGCGUAUACAAAGUCGAGUCGGUUUAAGGAUACGUUCGUUGGGUAGGGGAGCGUUCUGUAAGCCUGCGAAGGUGGCCUGUGAGGGUUGCUGGAGGUAUCAGAAGUGCGAAUGCUGACAUAAGUAACGAUAAAGCGGGUGAAAAGCCCGCUCGCCGGAAGACCAAGGGUUCCUGUCCAACGUUAAUCGGGGCAGGGUGAGUCGACCCCUAAGGCGAGGCCGAAAGGCGUAGUCGAUGGGAAACGGGUUAAUAUUCCCGUACUUGGUGUUACUGCGAAGGGGGGACGGAGAAGGCUAUGUUGGCCGGGCGACGGUUGUCCCGGUUUAAGCGUGUAGGUGUGUGUUCCAGGUAAAUCCGGUUCACUUUAACACUGAGGCGUGAUGACGAGGCACUACGGUGCUGAAGCAACAAAUGCCCUGCUUCCAGGAAAAGCCUCUAAGCAUCAGGUAACAUCAAAUCGUACCCCAAACCGACACAGGUGGUCAGGUAGAGAAUACCAAGGCGCUUGAGAGAACUCGGGUGAAGGAACUAGGCAAAAUGGUGCCGUAACUUCGGGAGAAGGCACGCUGACACGUAGGUGAAGUGAUUUACUCAUGGAGCUGAAGUCAGUCGAAGAUACCAGCUGGCUGCAACUGUUUAUUAAAAACACAGCACUGUGCAAACACGAAAGUGGACGUAUACGGUGUGACGCCUGCCCGGUGCCGGAAGGUUAAUUGAUGGGGUCAGCGCAAGCGAAGCUCCUGAUCGAAGCCCCGGUAAACGGCGGCCGUAACUAUAACGGUCCUAAGGUAGCGAAAUUCCUUGUCGGGUAAGUUCCGACCUGCACGAAUGGCGUAAUGAUGGCCAGGCUGUCUCCACCCGAGACUCAGUGAAAUUGAACUCGCUGUGAAGAUGCAGUGUACCCGCGGCAAGACGGAAAGACCCCGUGAACCUUUACUAUAGCUUGACACUGAACAUUGAGCCUUGAUGUGUAGGAUAGGUGGGAGGCUUUGAAGUGUGGACGCCAGUCUGCAUGGAGCCGACCUUGAAAUACCACCCUUUAAUGUUUGAUGUUCUAACGUGGACCCGUGAUCCGGGUUGCGGACAGUGUCUGGUGGGUAGUUUGACUGGGGCGGUCUCCUCCUAAAGAGUAACGGAGGAGCACGAAGGUUGGCUAAUCCUGGUCGGACAUCAGGAGGUUAGUGCAAUGGCAUAAGCCAGCUUGACUGCGAGCGUGACGGCGCGAGCAGGUGCGAAAGCAGGUCAUAGUGAUCCGGUGGUUCUGAAUGGAAGGGCCAUCGCUCAACGGAUAAAAGGUACUCCGGGGAUAACAGGCUGAUACCGCCCAAGAGUUCAUAUCGACGGCGGUGUUUGGCACCUCGAUGUCGGCUCAUCACAUCCUGGGGCUGAAGUAGGUCCCAAGGGUAUGGCUGUUCGCCAUUUAAAGUGGUACGCGAGCUGGGUUUAGAACGUCGUGAGACAGUUCGGUCCCUAUCUGCCGUGGGCGCUGGAGAACUGAGGGGGGCUGCUCCUAGUACGAGAGGACCGGAGUGGACGCAUCACUGGUGUUCGGGUUGUCAUGCCAAUGGCACUGCCCGGUAGCUAAAUGCGGAAGAGAUAAGUGCUGAAAGCAUCUAAGCACGAAACUUGCCCCGAGAUGAGUUCUCCCUGAGACUUAGAGUCUCCUGAAGGAACGUUGAAGACGACGACGUUGAUAGGCCGGGUGUGUAAGCGCAGCGAUGCGUUGAGCUAACCGGUACUAAUGAACCGUGAGGCUUAACCUUACAACGCCGAAG
Molecule: ribosomal RNA, 3109 nt
Filed under: Salmonella enterica subsp. enterica serovar Antsalova str. S01-0511
Lineage: Bacteria; Pseudomonadati; Pseudomonadota; Gammaproteobacteria; Enterobacterales; Enterobacteriaceae
Description: bacterial LSU rRNA
Rfam family: Bacterial large subunit ribosomal RNA
Source: RNAcentral